AUUGAACGCUGGCGGCAUGCCUUACACAUGCAAGUCGAACGGCAGCACGGGAGCAAUCCUGGUGGCGAGUGGCGAACGGGUGAGUAAUACAUCGGAACGUGCCCAAUCGUGGGGGAUAACGCAGCGAAAGCUGUGCUAAUACCGCAUACGAUCUACGGAUGAAAGCAGGGGAUCGCAAGACCUUGCGCGAAUGGAGCGGCCGAUGGCAGAUUAGGUAGUUGGUGAGGUAAAGGCUCACCAAGCCGUCGAUCUGUAGCUGGUCUGAGAGGACGACCAGCUACACUGGGACUGAGACACGGCCCAGACUCCUACGGGAGGCAGCAGUGGGGAAUUUUGGACAAUGGGCGAAAGCCUGAUCCAGCCAUGCCGCGUGCAGGAUGAAGGCCUUCGGGUUGUAAACUGCUUUUGUACGGAACGAAACGGCCUUUUCUAAUAAAGAGGGCUAAUGACGGUACCGUAAGAAUAAGCACCGGCUAACUACGUGCCAGCAGCCGCGGUAAUACGUAGGGUGCAAGCGUUAAUCGGAAUUACUGGGCGUAAAGCGUGCGCAGGCGGUUAUGUAAGACAGUUGUGAAAUCCCCGGGCUCAACCUGGGAACUGCAUCUGUGACUGCAUAGCUAGAGUACGGUAGAGGGGGAUGGAAUUCCGCGUGUAGCAGUGAAAUGCGUAGAUAUGCGGAGGAACACCGAUGGCGAAGGCAAUCCCCUGGACCUGUACUGACGCUCAUGCACGAAAGCGUGGGGAGCAAACAGG
Molecule: ribosomal RNA, 753 nt
Filed under: uncultured Comamonadaceae bacterium
Lineage: Bacteria; Pseudomonadati; Pseudomonadota; Betaproteobacteria; Burkholderiales; Comamonadaceae
Description: bacterial SSU rRNA
Rfam family: Bacterial small subunit ribosomal RNA
Source: RNAcentral